UUUUUAAAAAAAAAAUACAAAAAAAAUAAAGAAACAGAGGACGCCCACCGUAGUUUUCAUUUUCAUUUUUCCUCUUCACUCUCUCCCCCCAAUUUUUUUCCCAUCACCACCGUUCAGCUCCGGCCACCACGAAGCAGUGCCGACGCCCACCAUCAAGAUGAAAAAAGUUGCUGGACGUGGAAGAAAUGUCCGCCACCUAGCAGAAAGCAGGUUGAUGAUGGAGAUUGAGGAUGGGAAGAGAACAAGGAAGCCGAAACGGCAAGCGAAAAAUAUGUCCGUAAAAAGAAACUUCUAAAAGGUCUAAAGUGUAAGGAGUUACAGGAUCUUAUUGAUGAUAUCAGACUUUCUGUCACAAGUUAACAGAGAGCUCAUGGAGUUGAUUGAAUCACUACAAGGCAGAAUUGUAGAGGAGGAAAAUGUUGAGGAGCUGAGCGAAGAAACAGAUGGCAGCCAUGAGAAGCUGGAUGAAAUUGCUGAUAAUGUAGAAAUUUAUGAAGUGAAUUGUGCAUUAAUUAAAUCGUGUUGAUCCUCAAUUUGCCUGUUUCUCAAAACUUGUUGAUAUUCGAUAAUCUAGGAAUUGACAUUCAAACAUCUUAAUAUACACUCAUUUGUAUUUA
Alnus glutinosa is the source of this 617-nucleotide long non-coding RNA. RefSeq lists it as uncharacterized. The transcript is spliced from 3 exons. Lineage: Eukaryota; Viridiplantae; Streptophyta; Magnoliopsida; Fagales; Betulaceae. The record is from RefSeq and is a predicted model, not a curated record.